GGGGCAGUCCUGUCUGCGUAUUCAUUUCUCCGUUUCACCAACUUUUGACAAAUCAACGGUACUGGACAUCGCAAGGGGGCAGUCCUAUCUGCGUAUUCAUUUCACGAACUUUAAUCUUUCUCUUUACAGAUAAAUAAAAUAUAAAUAAUAUGAAACAUUAAUGCAUGGAUUAGUUUUUAUCCAUGUUUCUUUAACCUAAAAAAUUGAAAGAAUAUCCCAUAUUCCAAUUUGAUAUUAUUGAGGAAUGGUAGAACC
Molecule: long non-coding RNA, 255 nt
Filed under: Mytilus galloprovincialis (Mediterranean mussel)
Lineage: Eukaryota; Metazoa; Mollusca; Bivalvia; Mytilida; Mytilidae
Source: RNAcentral